Molecule: long non-coding RNA, 553 nt
Organism: Anguilla anguilla (European eel)
Lineage: Eukaryota; Metazoa; Chordata; Actinopteri; Anguilliformes; Anguillidae
Exons: 3
Source: RefSeq, a predicted model, not a curated record
CAAGAUCAAGGACGUACAUCUUCUGAAAAAGAAACAUCGAAGAACGUUUGAUUCCUAAUAUGAAAAGAGGUAAUCUAAAUGAGAAACGGAUGUACUGACAUUAUUCGUCUCUGCAGUUUGCAAAAAAUUAUUGAGCUGUGCUACAGAGACCUUUUGAGGGUCAGGAGCUCAAUGUGACAAAAGUCACCAUGUCCUAAAGAACUGGUUUUUCAGGGGGUGAGAAACAGUGAGGAGCAAGCAAAUCUGCGAUGAGCCCCCUGAAUUCAACCUCCUUCAUUAACGCCACUAUUGUUCAUCCUGAGUUCUUUUUCAUAAGUGGUUUUGCCGGUAUUUCCCAUGCAAACUACUACUAUGUCUUCUUGUGCUUUGUUUAUGCUCUGAGUCUACUAGGUAAUGCCUUUGUCAUGUUUGUGAUUUACACUGACCACCGUCUCCACAGUCCAAAAUACAUUGUCGUUUUUAAUUUGGCUGUGUCUGACUUGUGUGGAAGCACCGCACUUGUUCCUCAGAUGAUUGACACCUUGCUGUUUAAAUCACAUUUAAUCUCCUACGA